AUAAUCGUUCUAGACCUGAAACCA
Molecule: non-coding RNA, 24 nt
Filed under: Arabidopsis thaliana (thale cress)
Lineage: Eukaryota; Viridiplantae; Streptophyta; Magnoliopsida; Brassicales; Brassicaceae
Source: RNAcentral